RNAcentral lists this unclassified non-coding RNA (329 nucleotides) under soil metagenome. RNAcentral's name for it is "partial contains 5.8S ribosomal RNA, internal transcribed spacer 2, and large subunit ribosomal RNA". The stretch from base 1 to 120 matches the Rfam family "5.8S ribosomal RNA", at positions 35 to 154 of the family's 154-position model. The record is from RNAcentral.
GAUGAAGAACGCAGCGAAAUGAGAUAAGUAAUGUGAAUUGCAGAAUUCAGUGAAUCAUCGAAUCUUUGAACGCACAUUGCGCCCCCUGGUAUUCCGGGGGGCAUGCCUGUCCGAGCGUCAUUACAACCCUCAAGCUCAGCUUGGUGUUGGGCCCCGCCGCCCCGGCGGGCCCUAAAGUCAGUGGCGGUGCCGUCCGGCUCCGAGCGUAGUAAUUCUUCUCGCUCUGGAGGUCCGGUCGUGUGCUCGCCAGCAACCCCCAAUUUUUUUCAGGUUGACCUCGGAUCAGGCAGGGAUACCCGCUGAACUUAAGCAUAUCAAUAAGCGGAGGA